Molecule: ribosomal RNA, 445 nt
Filed under: uncultured bacterium
Lineage: Bacteria
Description: partial 16S ribosomal RNA
Rfam family: Bacterial small subunit ribosomal RNA
Source: RNAcentral
GUAAGGAAUAUUGGUCAAUGGGCGCAAGUCUGAACCAGCCAUGCCGCGUGCAGGAAGACGGCCCUCCGGGUUGUAAACUGCUUUUGUACGGGAAUAAACCUCUCUACGUGUAGGGAGCUGAAUGUACCGUAAGAAUAAGGAUCGGCUAACUCCGUGCCAGCAGCCGCGGUAAUACGGAGGAUCCAAGCGUUAUCCGGAUUUAUUGGGUUUAAAGGGUGCGUAGGCGGCCUGUUAAGUCAGGGGUGAAAGACGGUGGCUCAACCAUCGCAGUGCCCUUGAUACUGAUGGGCUUGAAUAGACUAGAGGUAGGCGGAAUGUGACAAGUAGCGGUGAAAUGCAUAGAUAUGUCACAGAACACCGAUUGCGAAGGCAGCUUACUAUGGUCUGAUUGACGCUGAGGCACGAAAGCGUGGGGAUCGAACAGGAUUAGAUACCCUUGUAGUCC